AGGAUAUAGUCAUAUAGAGGGUAC
This 24-nucleotide non-coding RNA is filed under the name Arabidopsis thaliana (thale cress). The record is from RNAcentral. Lineage: Eukaryota; Viridiplantae; Streptophyta; Magnoliopsida; Brassicales; Brassicaceae.